UACGAAGGGGGCGAGCGUUGUUCGGAUUUACUGGGCGUAAAGGGCGCGCAGGCGGCAGAUCAGGUCAGAUGUGAAAGCCCCGGGCUUAACCUGGGAACUGCAUUUGGGACUGGUUUGCUAGAGAUCGGGAGAGGAGAGUGGAAUUCCCAGUGUAGAGGUGAAAUUCGUAGAUAUUGGGAAGAACACCGGUGGCGAAGGCGGCUCUCUGGACCGAUACUGACGCUGAGGCGCGAAAGCGUGGGGAGCAAACAGG
This 253-nucleotide ribosomal RNA is filed under the name uncultured bacterium. RNAcentral's name for it is "partial 16S ribosomal RNA". It matches the Rfam family "Bacterial small subunit ribosomal RNA", at positions 524 to 776 of the family's 1533-position model. The record is from RNAcentral.